Molecule: non-coding RNA, 251 nt
Filed under: Caldanaerobacter subterraneus subsp. tengcongensis
Lineage: Bacteria; Bacillati; Bacillota; Clostridia; Thermoanaerobacterales; Thermoanaerobacteraceae
Description: Thermoanaerobacter tengcongensis T-box sequence
Rfam family: T-box leader
About the family: Uncharged tRNA acts as the effector for transcription antitermination of genes in the T-box leader family.
Source: RNAcentral
AGAAAAGCGAUGAAGGAGAGGGGUAUGUGCUAAGGCUCAAGAGAGCCGGUGGUUGGUGCGAACCGGUGCCAAGGCACAUAUUAGAUCGCUCUGGAGCUGUAUAGCUGAACGGUCCUUUGAAAAGGACUCAUUAGGCUAUACCGGGGGUGCCCGUUACAGUUCAAGUUUGCAAAAACUUGGUGAGGCUAUUUGCCGUGAGGCAAUAGCGAAGACAGGUGGUACCGCGUGGAUGAAAAGUCCCCGCCCUGUUA